AGUGAACGCUGGCGGUAGGCCUAACACAUGCAAGUCGAACGGCAGCACAGUAAGAGCUUGCUCUUACGGGUGGCGAGUGGCGGACGGGUGAGGAAUACAUCGGAAUCUACUUUUUCGUGGGGGAUAACGUAGGGAAACUUACGCUAAUACAGCAUACGACCUACGGGUGAAAGCAGGGGAUCUUCGGACCUUGCGCGAUUGAAUGAGCCGAUGUCGGAUUAGCUAGUUGGCGGGGUAAAGGCCCACCAAGGCGACGAUCCGUAGCUGGUCUGAGAGGAUGAUCAGCCACACUGGAACUGAGACACGGUCCAGACUCCUACGGGAGGCAGCAGUGGGGAAUAUUCGACAAUGGGCGAAAGCCUGAUCCAGCCAUACCGCGUGGGUGAAGAAGGUCUUCGGGUUGUAAAGCCCUUUUGUUAGGAAAGAAAAGCAGUAGGUUAAUACCCCGCUGUUCUGACGGUACCCAAAGAAUAAGCACCGGCUAACUUCGUG
This 492-nucleotide ribosomal RNA is filed under the name uncultured bacterium. RNAcentral describes it as "partial 16S ribosomal RNA". It matches the Rfam family "Bacterial small subunit ribosomal RNA", at positions 29 to 507 of the family's 1533-position model. The record is from RNAcentral.